ACCUGCGAACCAGCGCGGGUUAUUACUUCAUUCUGGAUCACACCGCCGAGAAGAUACAAUCGUUAUCGUUUGCGCUUUACGAAGAACAUUCUGAAUAUUUUUCCGAUAAAUCACAAUUUCAAAAUGGGAAUGCACCGCGCGACGAUUUCGCCGAUUCAAUUGCCGUUCAAUCAAAACCGACACGUGCGCCACAUUAAACGCGAUCAAUUCUCUCGCGAGGAAAUCGAACAGCGCGAUGGACGGCCAAAUAAAUUCCUCCACUAUCUCGCGCGAACACCUGUCGAUGCGCGAGGGGAAAAAAAAUUGUAAUAUUUGGCAGUCGCUAUUAUCGAAGGAAAACGCAUAUCUCGCUAUUUAGAAAUUCUCGCUUAUAUGGAGAGCGUCGGCAAUCAAAUAGUUGCGAUUGGAAAAUAACUGGGAAAUUUUAUUGGCACUGGCUUCCAUCGGUUUCGACCGUCGCAAGAAUCUUUACCUACUCGAUACGAUGGAAUUCGACACCGUUAUCAACGAAUUGCGCAAUUUCAAAAAAGAAACUUUACACUGUUCAAAGAAAACAAAUAUUCUCGACUGGUAGAUUUGACUGAGUCUACGGAUCAGAAUCUGGAAAAUAAGUCACUUAACACUACAGAUGAAACUGUUGAUGAUCAUCGGAAUGAUAAAAAUUCGUCGUCUUCAAGGAAAGAUCACAAUUUAAAAUCAUCAGAUGAUGAUAGUAAAUAUGCGCUCGAUACGGAUGCAGAAGUUCCUGAAACUACUUGAAAUGUAGAAUUCUUCUUUUUUCUUAUCUCACGAAGUAAAAAGUUCCACUAACAAUACAUAAGCACAAAUUUGUUUUUCUUUGGCACUUUAUUGAUGUAAAUAUAACAACUUAUAUGAAAUGGUAUGUACAGAAUCUUAUAAUAAUAUGGCGUAUCAAGUGAUAAAUAUAAACAACCAUCCUCCUGUGAAAAAGAACAAUAUAUGUCACAUAUGAAUAUCUAGAAAUUUUAUUAGAAGUAUCAUUUCCUAUUAAAUAGAUUUUUUAUUAUUGUACGAGAAAUAUAGGCACUUUAUGGACGUUGAACAAGUAUGAGAUCAAUUAGAGAAUUACACCAUAUAAAUUUUGUAUCUUUUAUGUAAAAACAUAUAAAAUUCAAGAAGAGAUACUAGAGCGAGUAAUUUUUUUCAUAUAAAUUGAGACAUUAUCUGCAAUUGAGUCUGUGUUCAAGUUUUGUACAAAUUAACUAAGACGUCCCUGUUGAACAAUAAAAAGAAAUACGUGAGAAAUUUUAACACAAUUAACACACAAUAAUAAUUAUAAUUAUUCUAAUGAGGUUCCGUAGGCUGCUAACAAUAUAUUAUAGCAAUUAAAUGAUAGUAAUAUUAAUGAAUAAUUAUUAAUAUUAUAAUAAAUUAAAACAGUUAAUAUUAACUAUAAUAAUGUAUACAAUAUUUUCGGAUACUAUACUUCCUGGUGUAUUAUCAUACGCGGAUUCCAAACCGACACUCUCAUCCAAGAAAUAUUGUAUAUGAAAUGCCACUUGGUGUGUAGAAUUUUACAAACUUAAAUUACACAUAAUAACGAUGAUGUUAACUGUCCUCUACAUUCUGUUUCUAGAUAUGCUAAAUCUAUUAUCAAAAAUCAAUCACACAAAUAAAUAUUAUUGAUAAAAAAAAGAUAUUUUUAGUUCUAUCUUAAAAAUAUAAAUAUUUCUGAUUGUUUAUAUGUAAACAAAUUUUUUAUUUCUAGAGCAAGAGCGUAAUAUGCAAAAGUAUUAAUAUUUGUCGCGAUAUAUAUAUAUAUAUAUAUAUAUAUAAAAAUCUGAAUAGAAAUACAAA
This is a long non-coding RNA of Pseudomyrmex gracilis, 1818 nucleotides long. RefSeq lists it as uncharacterized. The transcript has 6 exons. NCBI's taxonomy places the organism in Eukaryota, Metazoa, Arthropoda, Insecta, Hymenoptera, Formicidae. The record is from RefSeq and is a predicted model, not a curated record.